AGCGAGAUGGGGCAGUCAGGAGUGCCCGAUGGGCCCAUAACCCAUAGGUCGGUGGUUCAAAUCCACCUCUCGCUA
Molecule: transfer RNA, 75 nt
Filed under: Nanobdellota archaeon
Lineage: Archaea; Nanobdellati; Nanobdellota
Description: tRNA-Met
Rfam family: tRNA
About the family: Transfer RNA (tRNA) molecules are approximately 80 nucleotides in length.
Source: RNAcentral